UUAGCCUUAACUGCAUAUUUAUGUUCAGAUUUUAUAGUCACAUAUGCCACAGAUUUCACUCCCAGAUGUCUCCCUGUGAUAUCUAUCUUGUGCUCACCCUCUAAACAGCAUCAGGGCAUUAACAGACACCAGCCUAUGACUGAAUUACAUCACUGCUCCUGCCUAGGAAGAGACAUGUUUGCCGAAGCUGCCUUCAGUUAAAGUUCCUUGCCAUAUCCUGUCUUUCAUUAAAAAGAAGGAAGAAGAAGAAGAAGAAGAAGAAGAAGAAGAAGAAGAAGAAGAAGAAGAAGAAGAAGAAGAGGCUUCUAAGGAUUAUAGUAAAAUAAAAUAAAGAUGAAACAAAAACUAACAUAUCAGAAUUGGACAAAACAAUCAAGCAGAAAGAAAAGAUUCCAGAAGAAGAUACAAGAAACAGAGAACCACUCAUUCGUGCACUCAGGAAUUCAAUAAAAUGCUAAACUGGAAGCAAUAAUAUAUUUUUUAAAAAAGGACCUGGAAGAUGAAAGAGAGAAAAAAUAUGUAUAAAAAAGCAUCUUGAUAAUGGCAUAAAAAACGGCAUGUGGACCAAUGGAAUCAAAUUGAAGACCCUGACAUUAAUCCGCACACGAAUGAACAUCUGAUCUUUGACAAAGCCAAAACUGCACUAUGGAAAAAAGAAAGCAUCUUUGACAAAUGGUGCUGGCAUAACUGGAUGUCAGCAUGUAGAAGACUGCAAACAGAUCCAUAUCUAUUGCUAUGCACAAAACUCAAGUCCAAAUGGAUCACAGACCUCAACAUAAAUCCAGUUACACUGAACCUGAUAGAAGAUGAAGUAGGAAGCAGCCUUGAAUGCAUCAGCACAAGAAACCACUUCCUAAAUAUAACAUCAGUAGCAUAGACACUGAGAGCAACAACUAAUAAAUGGGACCUCCUGAAACAGAAGCUUUUGUAAGGCAAAGGACACAGUAAAUAAGACAAAAGGACAGCCUACAGAAUGGCAAAAGAUCUUCAUCAACCCCACAUCUGAUAGAGGUGUAACUGAAUCUUGAGGUAGAUCAAUUCCCAUUUUCCUGAGAAACCACCACACUGGUUUCCAUAGUGGCUGUUCAAGUUCACAGUGGAUGAGUGUUCCCCUUGUUCCACAUCCUGACCAGCAUACCCUGUCACUUGUUUUUAUUGGUCUCAGCCAUUUUGAUUCUGUAAAAGGAAAUCUCAAAGUAGUUUUGAUUUGGAUUUUCCUGAUGACUAGUGAUAUUGAACAUUUAUUUAAGUGUUUCUUAGCCAUUUGAGUUGCCUCUUUUGAAAAUUCUCUGGUUAGAACUGUACAACAUUUUUUAGUUGGGUUAUAUAUUUUCUUGAUAUCUGAAUUUUUUUAGUCAUUUAUAUAUUUUGGAUAUUAGUCUCCUUUCAGAUGUGGAGUUGAUUAAUUCCUUUUCCCAUUCUAUAGGUUACUACUUUAUCUGAAUAACAGUGUCCUUUGCUGUUCAGAAGCUUUUAAGUUUCAUGAGAUCUCAUUUAUUAAUUGCUGUUCUUAGUGUCUAUGCUAAUGAUAUUCUGUUCAGAAAGUCUUUUUCCUGUGACAAUGAGUUUAAGGCUAUUACCCACUGUUACUUCUAUCAAGUUCAGUGUAUUUGGUUCUAUGUUGAGGAUUUUUACCCAUUUGGAGUUGAGGGUUUUUUUUUUGUUGUUGUUGUUGUUGUUUUUAUUUUGCAAUACAGUUCAGAGGAGUUGAGUUUUGUGCCAGCUGAUAAGUAUGGAUCUGUUUGGAUUCUUUUACAUGAAGCAUCUAGUUUGACCUACACCCCUUGUUAAAGAUAUUAUCUUUUCUCCAGUGUGUAUUUCUGUCUUCAUUAUCAAAACUCAAGUGUGUGAAUUUAUGCCUGGGUCUUUUGUUCAAAUCCGUUGAUUGACAUGUCAGUUUUUAUGCCAACAUCAUGCUAUUUUUAUUACUAUAACUCUAUAGUACAACUUGAAAUUGCAGAUAGUGAUGUCUCCUGCAGUUGUUUUAUUAUUCAGGAUUGUUUUUUAUCAAUGCUGGGUUUGGGUCAAUUUGUUUGUUUUUUGUUUUCUUAAGAUGCUGAAGAUUGUCCUUUCAAGAUAUGUGAAGAGUUGCGUUCAAAUUUUAAUGGGAAUUGCUUUCUGCUUUGAUUUAUUUUUUCCAUUUACUGAAUAUGGGGUUGCUUAUGCAAAUUUGUAAAUUAUAUCAGUAAGUUGUUUUUUGUUCUUUUUCUAAGUGUUUAUUAUAAUUACUUAGAGCUAUUCCAUUUUAGAACUUCUCUUACCAUAUCCCAGAGGUUUUGUUGGGCUAUGUUUUCAAUUUCACAAGGAUUUAAAGUUUUUUCUGCCUUGAUUUCUUCUUUUGUCAUCCAAUAUUAUGUUGUUUAAUCUCCAUGAUUCAAUUACUUACUAGGCUAUUUUGCUGUUGAUUUUAUACAUUAUUGUAUUUUAGUCAGAGUGUACAUAUGGAAUUUUUCAUUUUUUCUGUAUUGACUGAGAUGUUUUGUGUCCUUGUAAGUGGUCUCUUUUUACAGAUAUUCCCAUAGACUUCUAACUAGAAAGUACAUUCUUAGUGUUAGGUAGAAUGCUCUGCAGAUAAUUGUUUAGUCUUUUUUUUAUAUGUGAUGUCAUUUAAUUUGUGUAUUUAUCUGAUUAUUUUUUUUGUCUAUAUGGCCUCUCUACUGGAGAAAGUAGGGUAUAGAAAUUACUAUUACUUAGUUGGAGAUAAUCUAUGUCUUGAAGAAAGUAAUAAUUUUUUCUUUAGGAAAUUAGCUAUACCAGAGUUUUUUUUUUUAUCUCUUCCUAGGAUUAUAUCUUCUUGAUUAAUUGUACCUUGAUAAGAAUGGAGUUUUCUUUUUUAUCGGUACAAUCAAUUUUAUUGAAAGUCUGCUUUUUCAGACACUGGGAUAUAGUCGCCUAUUUGCUUCCCAGUCCGACUUGCUGGGGUACUUUCUUGCAUCCUUUCACUCUAAGGUGGUGGUGCCUAUUCUUAAAGAUAAGAUGAGUUUCUUGCAGAAAACAUAAAGAUUGAUUCUGCUUCUUAGUCUAGUCAAAUAACUGUUGUCUUAUGUUGGAGCAGUUGAGAUCCUUAAAAUUUAUAGUUGGUUGUGUACCUGCUAUGAGAUUCUAGUCUCUCUCUCUUUUAAGUGGAAAUUUUGUUCCAUUUUGUUGUUGUCUAAACUUGCUGAUUUCAGAUCACAUAUGAAGAAUCGAUAGGUCAGUCAUUCAAACCCUCAGUAAUGAUUUUUGGUUGUGUAGUUGGGAUGAUUCCAAUCUAGCAGAAACCAAAAAAGCAUGCUAAUGUGACUCCCAGCUGGGUUUACCUGAGCUAGCACACAAGUUUCCCUCCCUGAGCUAGGCUUAGGAGGAUGAGUUUGGGAAGGGUGAAUUGGGAUCUUAGAAAUGCACGUAACGGGGCUGAUACAUAAGUUGCAUGAUUCCAGCUAGAACAAAGAGUAUGAAAAUGGAUGUGGUAGGCAGGAUUCUGCAAGAAUCAUCAGGUUAGGCUACUCUACAAGCUACAAGAAAUCAUCCACACCCAAGAUUAUAUGUGUGCAGUUAAAUGAUAAUGUGAGAAGAUAAGGUACUCACAUUAAAGUAGUUGACAAUUAAAACAAAACCAUAGCCCCAAUAGUUUACUAAACCAAUAAAAUAAGUUUCUGGUAAGGUGAACCUUAAAGACCCUGAUAGAGAGCUAAAAAGAUAGCAUAUACUCACACAAGCAGAUAUGCAUGCACAUAAAUAAAAAUAAAAUAAAUCUUUGAAAAAAAUAAUAAAGAUCAUGCCUCGGCUUCUCUGUUUAUCAAUAAACAUAGAAGAUGUGAUGAUUUGAAUAAGAGUUUUGCCCCCAGGCUCAGGCCUUUGAGCACCAACUUGAUGUCCAGUUGGUGAUGCUUUUUGGGGGUGUUUAGGGAGUGUGGCCUUGGUAGAGAAAAUAUGUUACUGGAGCAGACAUGGAGAGUAUAUAUAGCUUCACUCUACUUCCUGGUCACUCUUUCAUCUUCCUGUUUAUGUUAGGAGAUCUGAACUCUCAGCUUUCUGUUAUUGCUGCGAUGUCUACUGCUUAUUGCUAUACCUCCCUACCCUGAUGGACUCUUUCCCCUCUAGAAGCAUAAACAGAAUAAAGCCUGCCUUCUAUAAGUUA
Long non-coding RNA from Peromyscus californicus insignis, 4120 nucleotides. RefSeq lists it as uncharacterized. NCBI's taxonomy places the organism in Eukaryota, Metazoa, Chordata, Mammalia, Rodentia, Cricetidae. The transcript has 2 exons. The record is from RefSeq and is a predicted model, not a curated record.